UACAGAGGGGGCAAGCGUUGUUCGGAAUUACUGGGCGUAAAGGGCGCGUAGGCGGCUUGUUAAGUCGAACGUGAAAUCCCCGGGCUCAACCCGGGAACUGCGUCCGAUACUGGCAGGCUUGAAUUCGGGAGAGGGAUGCGGAAUUCCAGGUGUAGCGGUGAAAUGCGUAGAUAUCUGGAGGAACACCGGUGGCGAAGGCGGCAUCCUGGACCGAGAUUGACGCUGAGGCGCGAAAGCCAGGGGAGCAAACGGG
RNAcentral lists this ribosomal RNA (253 nucleotides) under uncultured bacterium. Its description in RNAcentral is "partial 16S ribosomal RNA". It matches the Rfam family "Bacterial small subunit ribosomal RNA", at positions 524 to 776 of the family's 1533-position model. The record is from RNAcentral.